CUGAUUUCAUUCCUGGUGUUG
Molecule: non-coding RNA, 21 nt
Filed under: Caenorhabditis elegans
Lineage: Eukaryota; Metazoa; Nematoda; Chromadorea; Rhabditida; Rhabditidae
Source: RNAcentral